This 22-nucleotide microRNA is filed under the name Gallus gallus (chicken). RNAcentral's name for it is "gga-miR-1676-3p". Lineage: Eukaryota; Metazoa; Chordata; Aves; Galliformes; Phasianidae. The record is from miRBase by way of RNAcentral.
AGAGCGAAGUGGGUGGGAAUGU